UACAGAGGUCCCAAGCGUUGUUCGGAUUUACUGGGCGUAAAGGGUGCGUAGGUGGUCGGGUAAGUCUGAUGUGAAAUCUCGGAGCUUAACUCCGAAACGGCAUUGGAUACUAUUCGGCUUGAGGGUUGGAGGGGGGACUGGAAUUCUCGGUGUAGCAGUGAAAUGCGUAGAUAUCGAGAGGAACACCAGUGGCGAAGGCGAGUCCCUGGACAACUCCUGACACUAAGGCACGAAAGCCAGGGGAGCAAACGGG
RNAcentral lists this ribosomal RNA (253 nucleotides) under uncultured bacterium. Its description in RNAcentral is "partial 16S ribosomal RNA". It matches the Rfam family "Bacterial small subunit ribosomal RNA", at positions 524 to 776 of the family's 1533-position model. The record is from RNAcentral.